AGCAAAUGGGAUUAGAGGCGGCCCUCGGGCUCGAGACCGGAUGUAGGCGGAGUAGGCGCGCGGAGCCCAGCCUGCGGUGCAUGUUUUGGGGGCCGCAGAUUAAGGGGGUCCCGGAGCAACUGUGUUACAGUUUAAGUGUUGUUUGCAUGAAGCAUGGUCACCGCUGCUGAGGAAUCCUUUGGCUUGGGCUGAGUUGGUCCCUCCUGCAUCUUCAGUCCUUGCGGUGACAUCCACGUUGUUCCACUCGUGAUAAAUGAAGGGCCUCUCGGGCUGUGCUCCUCGCCUCAUAAUGAGAAUUACCAGCAGGCCUGGAUGGAUCCAAAGUAAUGUGAGCCUGCUGUCCUGCAAAUGUCUGUAAUAAUAAAUGACAAGGAAGGCAGAGAGACAUGGACGGGGCCAAGGAAAUCAGCAAAGGAUGAAGCACCCAGAGAGUAGCAACAGUGGAGAGUGCCUUCUGAUGAUAAUUGGCAAUCCCAUGGAGCUGCCACUUGGAAACUAUAUGUACCAGCUGAGGACUGAACAUCUGACCAUUGUGGUGCAUCAUUCCCUUAUCACUGGAACAUCUACAGGUAUUAUUAAACCCAUUUUACAGAUGAGGCAUGUUAAGGAAUGUACCCAA
This is a long non-coding RNA of Globicephala melas (long-finned pilot whale), 619 nucleotides long. RefSeq lists it as uncharacterized. NCBI's taxonomy places the organism in Eukaryota, Metazoa, Chordata, Mammalia, Artiodactyla, Delphinidae. The record is from RefSeq and is a predicted model, not a curated record.